GAUUUUCGCAAUGCCCGAAAGGGUGACGAAGCGACGCCGCGUGGGUGAGGAAGGCCCUCGGGUUGUAAAGCCCUGUCAGGAGUUAAGAAAUGUAGAUACGCUAAUAUCGUAUCUAUUUGACAAAGGCUCCAAAGGAAGCCACGGCUAACUCUGUGCCAGCAGCCGCGGUAAUACAGAGGUGGCAAGCGUUGUUCGGAAUUAUUGGGCGUAAAGAGCACGUAGGUGGAUUUGUAAGUCAGAUGUGAAAGCCUUCUGUUCAACGGGAGAAUUGCAUCUGAAACUACAAACCUUGAGUAUAGGAGGGGAGAAUGGAACUUCUGGUGGAGCGGUGAAAUGCGUAGAUAUCAGAAGGAACGCCGGCGGCGAAAGCGAUUCUCUGGCCUAUUACUGACACUCAGUGUGCGAAAGCUAGGGGAGCAAACGGGAUUAGAUACCCCGGUAGUCCUAGCCGUAAACGAUGGGCACUAAGUAGAGGGG
Molecule: ribosomal RNA, 477 nt
Filed under: uncultured anaerobic ammonium-oxidizing bacterium
Lineage: Bacteria
Description: bacterial SSU rRNA
Rfam family: Bacterial small subunit ribosomal RNA
Source: RNAcentral